Molecule: transfer RNA, 71 nt
Filed under: Ovis aries (sheep)
Lineage: Eukaryota; Metazoa; Chordata; Mammalia; Artiodactyla; Bovidae
Rfam family: tRNA
About the family: Transfer RNA (tRNA) molecules are approximately 80 nucleotides in length. Their secondary structure includes four short double-helical elements and three loops (D, anti-codon, and T loops). Further hydrogen bonds mediate the characteristic L-shaped molecular structure. tRNAs have two regions of fundamental functional importance: the anti-codon, which is responsible for specific mRNA codon recognition, and the 3' end, to which the tRNAs corresponding amino acid is attached (by aminoacyl-tRNA synthetases). tRNAs cope with the degeneracy of the genetic code in two manners: having more than one tRNA (with a specific anti-codon) for a particular amino acid; and 'wobble' base-pairing, i.e. permitting non-standard base-pairing at the 3rd anti-codon position.
Source: Rfam by way of RNAcentral
UCCCUGGUGGCUCAGUGGUAAAGAAUCUGCCUGCAAUGCAGGAGACCUGGGUUCGAUCCCUGAGUUGGGAA